GACGAACGCUGGCGGCGUGCUUAACACAUGCAAGUCGAACGGAAAGGCCCUGCUUUUGUGGUGUGCUCGAGUGGCGAACGGGUGAGUAACACGUGAGUAACCUGCCCUUGACUUUGGGAUAACUUCAGGAAACUGGGGCUAAUACCGGAUAGGAGCUCCUGCUGCAUGGUGGGGGUUGGAAAGUUUCGGCGGUUGGGGAUGGACUCGCGGCUUAUCAGCUUGUUGGUGGGGUAGUGGCUUACCAAGGCUUUGACGGGUAGCCGGCCUGAGAGGGUGACCGGGCACAUUGGGACUGAGAUACGGCCCAGAGUCCUACGGGAGGCAGCAGUGGGGAAUAUUGCACAAUGGGCGGAAGCCUGAUGCAGAAACGCCGCGUGCGGGAUGACGGCCUUCGGGUUGUAAACCGCUUUCGCCUGUGACGAAGCGUGAGUGACGGUAAUGGGUAAAGAAGCACCGGCUAACUACGUG
RNAcentral lists this ribosomal RNA (468 nucleotides) under uncultured bacterium. RNAcentral's name for it is "partial 16S ribosomal RNA". It matches the Rfam family "Bacterial small subunit ribosomal RNA", at positions 28 to 507 of the family's 1533-position model. The record is from RNAcentral.